RNAcentral lists this ribosomal RNA (323 nucleotides) under uncultured eukaryote. RNAcentral describes it as "partial 18S ribosomal RNA". It matches the Rfam family "Eukaryotic small subunit ribosomal RNA", at positions 1470 to 1796 of the family's 1831-position model. The record is from RNAcentral.
CCCUUAGAUGUUCUGGGCCGCACGCGUGCUACACUGAACGGUUCAAUGGGUAAGGUAGUGCGAAAGCAUGACCUAAUCUCGAAAUCCGUUCGUGCUGGGGAUAGAAGCUUGCAAUUAUCCUUCUUGAACGAGGAGUACCUUGUAAGCGUGAGUCAUCAUCUCACGCUGAAUACGUCCCUGCCCUUUGUACACACCGCCCGUCGCUCCUACCGAUUGAGUGUUCCGGUGAGGCUUUGGGAGAAUGGCCUCAACAUGAGUUUAUCGUGUUUUGCCGUUUGAACUUAGUCAAACCUUAUCACUUAGAGGAAGGAGAAGUCGUAACA